GACGAACGCUGGCGGCGUGCUUAACACAUGCAAGUCGAACGGAGUUUAAGAGGAAGCUUGCGAAUCUUAAACUUAGUGGCGGACGGGUGAGUAACGCGUGGAUAACCUGCCUGAAUGACUGGGACAACACCGGGAAACUGGUGCUAAUACCGGAUACGCUCACCAUUGCGCAGGCAAAGGUGAGGAAAGGAGAAAUCCGCAUACAGAUGGGUCCGCGUCCCAUUAGCUAGUUGGCGGUGUAAGAGACCACCAAGGCGACGAUGGGUAGCCGGCCUGAGAGGGUGGACGGCCACACUGGAACUGAGACACGGUCCAGACUCCUACGGGAGGCUG
Molecule: ribosomal RNA, 333 nt
Filed under: uncultured Bacillota bacterium
Lineage: Bacteria; Bacillati; Bacillota
Description: bacterial SSU rRNA
Rfam family: Bacterial small subunit ribosomal RNA
Source: RNAcentral